GUGCCCACAUAAGCAGCACAUACACUAAAAUUGGACCAAUACAGAGAAGAUGAGUAUAGUCACUACGCAAGGAUGACACCCAAAUUUGUGACGCAUCCCAUGUUAAG
Small nuclear RNA from Cercocebus atys (sooty mangabey), 107 nucleotides. NCBI's taxonomy places the organism in Eukaryota, Metazoa, Chordata, Mammalia, Primates, Cercopithecidae. The record is from Ensembl.